AUCAUUCGGACGAAAGUGAUGAGGAAGUGGAGGAUGAACGCCCUGAACGUGCAGGCAACAGAAAAUGGUGUGACUGUGGAAACUGCACAGCUCAAAUCACUGGAACAGAGUCGAUGUGCUGCAGUGACUAUUCCCCAGUUCUGGCCAAGAAGGAAAGUUAUGAGCCAGAUGGAGUUGCCUGCAUAACUCUGCAUCCCGGAUUCGCAAGCAACUGCCUUGACCGAUAUGUCCUGGAAAGUGCCAUGUAUGAAUUUAUCCAAGAUCAAGGGCCAAUAGGAAAUGAUCAGCCAAUGCACAAGUUAUGGAGAUACCUUGCAUACCGCAGAUUUGUGCGCUGGUGCUGGCAACGUUUGGGCAAAAAGCAAAGACUUCCUCUUCCAGUCUGUGCUCGUGACAAGAUUCGCUCUACCUGGCCCUCAGAGGAGUACACUGGCUUUCGUUAUCCAAAGAGUUGAGCGUCCGAUUAAAUCGAGUCUUCCGGCUAUCCACGACCUCAAGUUUGGUUUGACGUUUCGUGUAUUUCGUACAGACUGGCUUGGGUGUAGACUUGAUGCGAUCUUCUCUAUUGGCCAAUGCAGUGCUGUACGAGGGCAUUUUCUCUCGAAGUCUCAAUACCUCAUUCAGUAGAAGUUGAAUGUAUUCUGAAAAGGAACGAAUAUUUUGAUUUUUUUUUAACAAUUAAUAUUUAGUAUUUAUAGGAUGUCCUGUUUGUUUUUGGUGACACAAGAUCAUCUCCAUGAAAUACCUCUGGAAAUGGAAAUGGUGUUCACAGUCAAGUGGAACCUCUCUAAAGGGACCAUCUCAAAAUUGACUGAUGCCAAAAUAGAAGAACAGUGUUAGUCUCUCUGUGAACACUGAGCACCUAGAAAACUCCCCCCAGACAAACACUGUUCCUCUUUUUUUGCAUCAGUAAAUUUUGAGAUGGUCCCUAAGGACACCCAUGGGACUGACAAGUGCUCUCCUUAAUAGAGUACACUCCCACCGCAGUGGUAUGUCCCGCCCCUGGUUUCAUAUACCGUGCCUAUGCGGUAUCACAGGCCCCAAUAGGGCCUACACAUUAUGUAUAACAACCGACCUCAGUAGCCUCGGGCAUUAAAUGCAAUUGACAUGGUUGUGUAGCCACUGUACAGUGGAUGACAUGUGCCAUUUGGGUAGUAUGAGUGUUGUGUGCAUCAGCAGUGUAUAAAUCAUGAAAUAGUGUUCAACUCA
Lineus longissimus is the source of this 1209-nucleotide long non-coding RNA. RefSeq lists it as uncharacterized. The record is from RefSeq and is a predicted model, not a curated record. The transcript has 3 exons. Lineage: Eukaryota; Metazoa; Nemertea; Pilidiophora; Heteronemertea; Lineidae.